Xenopus tropicalis (tropical clawed frog) is the source of this 69-nucleotide non-coding RNA. Lineage: Eukaryota; Metazoa; Chordata; Amphibia; Anura; Pipidae. The record is from Ensembl.
GGGAAGUUAGUCCAACCAAGACAGUUGAUUUCGGCUCAACAAAUUAUGGUUAAACCCCAUAACUACCCU